UAGUUUCUCCUGGCUCAGGACGAAGGCGGGCUUAACACCUAACACAUGCAAGUUGAAGGGUAAGGCCCCUUUGGGGGGGGAUCAAGUGGCGAAGGGUGAGUAACCACGUGGGUAAUUUGCCCUGCCCUUGGGAUAARCCCUGGAAAAGGGGUUUUAUUCCGGAAUAUAGAUCCGUCCCCCAGGGUGGGGUUUGGAAAGUUUUUCGGUGCGGGAUGGGCYCGCGGCCUAUCAGCUUGUUGGUGGGGUAAUGGCUCACCAAGGCGACGACGGGUAGCCGGCCUGAGAGGGUGACCGGCCACACUGGGACUGAGACACGGCCCAGACUCCUACGGGAGGCAGCAGUGGGGAAUAUUGCACAAUGGGCGAAAGCCUGAUGCAGCGACGCCGCGUGAGGGAUGACGGCCUUCGGGUUGUAAACCUCUUUCAGCAGGGAAGAAGCGCAAGUGACGUACCUGCAGAAGAAGCC
This 466-nucleotide ribosomal RNA is filed under the name uncultured Dietzia sp. Its description in RNAcentral is "bacterial SSU rRNA". It matches the Rfam family "Bacterial small subunit ribosomal RNA", at positions 9 to 492 of the family's 1533-position model. Lineage: Bacteria; Bacillati; Actinomycetota; Actinomycetes; Mycobacteriales; Dietziaceae. The record is from RNAcentral.